This 253-nucleotide ribosomal RNA is filed under the name uncultured bacterium. Its description in RNAcentral is "partial 16S ribosomal RNA". It matches the Rfam family "Bacterial small subunit ribosomal RNA", at positions 524 to 776 of the family's 1533-position model. The record is from RNAcentral.
AACGUAGGACGCAAGCGUUAUCCGGAGUUACUGGGCGUAAAGCGCGGGCAGGCGGCCUGAAAAGUCUGAUGUGAAAGCGCCCGGCUCAACCGGGCGAGGCCAUUGGAAACUUUCGGGCUGGAGGGCAGUAGAGGCAGGCGGAAUUCCGGGUGGAGUGGUGAAAUGCGUAGAGAUCCGGAGGAACACCAGAGGCGAAGGCGGCCUGCUGGGCUGCACCUGACGCUGAGCCGCGAAAGCCAGGGGAGCGAACGGG